AGCAGCCGCGGUAAUUCCAGCUCCAAUAGCGUAUAUUAAAGUUGUUGCAGUUAAAAAGCUCGUAGUUGAAUUUCGGGAUCAAUUUAUUGGUCGUGCUAUUGUACGUACUGGUAUUAUUGAUUCCUACCUUCUGACGAACCAUGAUGUCAUUAAUUUGGUGUCAUGGGGAAUCAGGACUGUUACUUUGAAAAAAUUAGAGUGUUUAAAGCAGGCUCACGCUUGAAUACAUUAGCAUGGAAUAACGAAAUAGGACGUUUGAUUCUAUUUUGUUGGUUUCUAGGAUCGACGUAAUGAUUAAUAGGGAUAGUUGGGGGCAUUAGUAUUCAAUUGUCAGAGGUGAAAUUCUUGGAUUUAUUGAAGACUAACUACUGCGAAAGCAUUUGCCAAGGAUGUUUUCAUUAAUCAAGAACGAAAGUUAGGGGAUCGAAGACGAUCAGAUACCGUCGUAGUCUUAACCAUAAACUAUGCCGACUAGGGAUCGGAUGAUGUUAAUUUUUAAUGUACUCAUUCGGCG
RNAcentral lists this ribosomal RNA (514 nucleotides) under uncultured Glomus. RNAcentral's name for it is "SSU rRNA". It matches the Rfam family "Eukaryotic small subunit ribosomal RNA", at positions 569 to 1085 of the family's 1831-position model. Lineage: Eukaryota; Fungi; Glomeromycota; Glomeromycetes; Glomerales; Glomeraceae. The record is from RNAcentral.